GUUCUCUCUAAAAAGUUCGAAAUUUUUAGCGCAUUGAUUCGCCAAUUCUCGAAGGCAGCUGAGUUAGGGUUACUGAGUCAGUAAUGGCCGAUUUUCAGACAUCGACUCACAAAGCCAAGUGGAUCUUCACCUCUCAACUGCUGGUUGAGAAGCACAAAGUUACUAAUCAAAGAGCCAAGCAAAUGCUGGAGAAGUAUGGAACAACAAGAAUGGAAGUAGAUGUUGAUGGAUCACUGUCAUACCCUGAACCUCAAGUUAACGCAGCAGACAAUGCUGAUAAGCAUUCUCGUCCAAAAUCGCUCAGUGUUGAAGAAGAACAAUUUAUGCGAGUAUACUAUGAAUAUAAACUUCGAGAAGUGUGCAGUGCCUUUUACUUUCCUCAUAAAAUUCAGGCAACAGCACUCAUAUACUUCAAGAGGUUUUAUCUUCAAUGGUCGGUCAUGGAACAUGAUCCAAAACAUGUAAUGUUAACCUGUAUAUAUGCAGCUUGUAAGAUCGAAGAAAAUCAUGUAUCAGCAGAGGAGCUUGGUAAGGGGAUUUCACAGGAUCAUCAAAUGAUUCUCAAUUAUGAGAUGAUAGUGCUCCAGAGCUUGGAAUUUGAUCUUAUUGUAUAUGCUCCAUAUCGUUCAGUUGAAGGUUUUAUCAAUGAUAUGGAGGAAUUCUGUCAUGCAGCGGAUGACCAAAUUCAAAUGCUGAAGGAUUUGCAAGCAACUGCAACAGCGGAGGUUGACAAAAUCAUGUUUACUGAUGCACCACUGCUUUUUCCUCCUGGGCAGUUGGCAUUGGCUGGUUUGCGAAUUGCAAAUGAGAUGCACCAGGGUCUUGAUUUU
RNAcentral lists this unclassified non-coding RNA (830 nucleotides) under Hevea brasiliensis (rubber tree). The record is from RNAcentral. Lineage: Eukaryota; Viridiplantae; Streptophyta; Magnoliopsida; Malpighiales; Euphorbiaceae.